UACGUAGGGUGCAAGCGUUAAUCGGAAUUACUGGGCGUAAAGCGUGCGCAGGCGGUUGGGUAAGACAGAUGUGAAAGCCCCAGGCUUAACCUGGGAAGUGCUUUUGAUACUGCAGAGCUUGAAUGUGGGAGAGGGUAGUGGAAUUCCAGGUGUAGUGGUGAAAUACGUAGAUAUCUGGAGGAACACCGGUGGCGAAGGCGGCUACCUGGCCCAACAUUGACACUGAGACACGAAAGCGUGGGGAUCAAACAGG
This 253-nucleotide ribosomal RNA is filed under the name uncultured bacterium. RNAcentral's name for it is "partial 16S ribosomal RNA". It matches the Rfam family "Bacterial small subunit ribosomal RNA", at positions 524 to 776 of the family's 1533-position model. The record is from RNAcentral.